This is a long non-coding RNA of Electrophorus electricus (electric eel), 665 nucleotides long. NCBI's taxonomy places the organism in Eukaryota, Metazoa, Chordata, Actinopteri, Gymnotiformes, Gymnotidae. The record is from Ensembl.
CAUUUAAAACUGGUUUGUUUGUUUUUUAAGUCAAUAAGUACACGAGGAGGGGCCGAGGCAGCUGCAGCACCCGGGGUGUGCGUUCACAGUACGUGACAUCGUCACAAACCGCCCCAGUGUCCAGACUGCGGUCAGCACCUCGGGGGCAAGUGGGUUCCCCCCUGUGGCCAAAGGAGCAGCACCUGGUGCUGCAUCCUCUCCACGGAAACCGCAGAAGGGUCAGGAUGACGAGGUCUGUUCCGCUCUCCCGCACUCUGAAAUGGCAACUCGGGACACUGUCCUGACGUUUGUCGCGGACGCGGGACAGGGAGAGGCUACAGAAAACACGACGGAGAAGGCAGACGUUCAUGCAGGAGCUCAGGAUGCCAGUCCUGCAGGAAGGGGCGGAGCAGGGCCGGCCCGCGCCCUGAAGCGUGCACGUCGGAAGAGAGAAAAGACGGAUGCUGUUAUCGCCUGUCAACCAGCAGAUGGCGCCCUCAUCAGCAAUUCAGACGCCUCUCGGUGUACUGAAUCAACCGCUAUCAUAGGGCUGAGCGGAGCUCGUGUCCGGCUCAUUGGCAAAGACGGGAGCGCCAGCAGUGGACAGAAACGGCGCAUUCGAGCCAUUCUACCUGCGCCCGCAUCCCCCAGUAAGACCCGCUACCAGUCUAUGCACAUCACCAGUC